UCUGGCCCCUCGGGGUCCGAGUUGUAAUUUGUAGAGGAUGCUUUUGGUGAGGUGCCGCCCGAGUUCCCUGGAACGGGACGCCACAGAGGGUGAGAGCCCCGUCUGGCUGGCCACCGAGCCUCUGUAAAGCUCCUUCGACGAGUCGAGUAGUUUGGGAAUGCUGCUCAAAAUGGGAGGUAUAUGUCUUCUAAAGCUAAAUAUUGGCCAGAGACCGAUAGCGCACAAGUAGAGUGAUCGAAAGAUGAAAAGCACCUUGAAAAGAGGGUUAAAUAGUACGUGAMAUUGUUGAAAGGGAAGCGCUUGUGACCAGACUUGGGCGCGGCGGAUCAUCCGGGGUUCUCUCCGGUGCACUUCGCCGCGUCUAGGCCAGCAUCAGUUCGUCGCGGGGGAAAAAGGUUUCGGGAACGUGGCUCCUCCGGGAGUGUUAUAGCCCGUUGCAUAAUACCCUGCGGUGGACUGAGGACCGCGCAUCUGCAAGGAUGCUGGCGUAAUGGUCACCAGCGACCCGUCUUGAAACACGGACCAAGGAGUCGUCUUCGUAUGCGAGUGUUCGGGUGUCAAACCCCUACGCGUAAUGA
This 578-nucleotide ribosomal RNA is filed under the name Trichoderma spirale. RNAcentral's name for it is "eukaryotic LSU rRNA". It matches the Rfam family "Eukaryotic large subunit ribosomal RNA", at positions 121 to 722 of the family's 3401-position model. The record is from RNAcentral. Lineage: Eukaryota; Fungi; Ascomycota; Sordariomycetes; Hypocreales; Hypocreaceae.